AGACCAUCAAAAAUUCUAUUUUCAAAGCUAGAUGCUUAAUACAAUUUUUAACCAAAAUUUAUCUAAUAAUACAACAUAAAAUUUAUAUUUUAAGAUAAAAAUUAGUUCUAACUUGGUACAAAUUUACUAACUUGUACUCAUAAAUACAAAAAAUUCAAAUCUAUAUAUGAAUUUUUUACGACUUUUUUCUUAGAAAUACCAUUUUUAGAGCUAUGGUGAUGUCAACAAAUGUUCUAAGCAAUGUUGUGCCAUUAAGAAUUACUGCAUGUCAACACAAUACAAAAUAAUAUUAGAUUUUAUAACAUUAUACUGUUAAAAGUUACUAUGGUAAUUACUUGCGGUGUCAUAGCAAAAGUAGGAUAAUAAGCAUUGUUUAGGAAAAUUUUAGACACAUAAAAAGCCAUUAGAAGGAAUUUGAGGCCCUCUUCUAAAAUUGGAUGAUCAGCCAUUUGUGCAAUAGAAUAUUGUACACCAAUAGUUUUACCAAA
Molecule: long non-coding RNA, 488 nt
Filed under: Physcomitrium patens
Lineage: Eukaryota; Viridiplantae; Streptophyta; Bryopsida; Funariales; Funariaceae
Description: long non-coding RNA (PPAT_LNC001658)
Source: RNAcentral